RNAcentral lists this ribosomal RNA (253 nucleotides) under uncultured bacterium. Its description in RNAcentral is "partial 16S ribosomal RNA". It matches the Rfam family "Bacterial small subunit ribosomal RNA", at positions 524 to 776 of the family's 1533-position model. The record is from RNAcentral.
UACGUAGGUGGCGAGCGUUGUCCGGAUUUACUGGGCGUAAAGGGAGCGUAGGCGGACUUUUAAGUGAGAUGUGAAAUACUCGGGCUCAACUUGAGUGCUGCAUUCCAAACUGGAAGUCUAGAGUGCAGGAGAGGAGAAUGGAAUUCCUAGUGUAGCGGUGAAAUGCGUAGAGAUUAGGAAGAACACCAGUGGCGAAGGCGAUUCUCUGGACUGUAACUGACGCUGAGGCUCGAAAGCGUGGGGAGCAAACAGG